CCGGUAAACGGCGGCCGUAACUAUAACGGUCCUAAGGUAGCGAAAUUCCUUGUCGGGUAAGUUCCGACCUGCACGAAUGGCGUAAUGAUGGCCAGGCUGUCUCCACCCGAGACUCAGUGAAAUUGAACUCGCUGUGAAGAUGCAGUGUACCCGCGGCAAGACGGAAAGACCCCGUGAACCUUUACUAUAGCUUGACACUGAACAUUGAGCCUUGAUGUGUAGGAUAGGUGGGAGGCUUGGAAGUGUGGACGCCAGUCUGCAUGGAGCCGACCUUGAAAUACCACCCUUUAAUGUUUGAUGUUCUAACGUUGACCCGUAAUCCGGGUUGCGGACAGUGUCUGGUGGGUAGUUUGACUGGGGCGGUCUCCUCCUAAAGAGUAACGGAGGAGCACGAAGGUUGGCUAAUCCUGGUCGGACAUCAGGAGGUUAGUGCAAUGGCAUAAGCCAGCUUGACUGCGAGCGUGACGGCGCGAGCAGGUGCGAAAGCAGGUCAUAGUGAUCCGGUGGUUCUGAAUGGAAGGGCCAUCGCUCAACGGAUAAAAGGUACUCCGGGGAUAACAGGCUGAUACCGCCCAAGAGUUCAUAUCGACGGCGGUGUUUGGCACCUCGAUGUCGGCUCAUCACAUCCUGGGGCUGAAGUAGGUCCCAAGGGUAUGGCUGUUCGCCAUUUAAAGUGGUACGCGAGCUGGGUUUAGAACGUCGUGAGACAGUUCGGUCCCUAUCUGCCGUGGGCGCUGGAGAACUGAGGGGGGCUGCUCCUAGUACGAGAGGACCGGAGUGGACGCAUCACUGGUGUUCGGGUUGUCAUGCCAAUGGC
RNAcentral lists this ribosomal RNA (817 nucleotides) under Escherichia coli. RNAcentral describes it as "partial 23S ribosomal RNA". It matches the Rfam family "Bacterial large subunit ribosomal RNA", at positions 1920 to 2736 of the family's 2925-position model. Lineage: Bacteria; Pseudomonadati; Pseudomonadota; Gammaproteobacteria; Enterobacterales; Enterobacteriaceae. The record is from RNAcentral.